UACGAAGGGGGCUAGCGUUGUUCGGAAUUACUGGGCGUAAAGCGAACGUAGGCGGUGUUCCAUGUCAGAGGUGAAAGCCUGGGGCUCAACUCCAGAAUUGCCUUUGAAACGGGGACGCUUGAGUCCGAGAGAGGAUGGCGGAAUUCCUAGUGUAGAGGUGAAAUUCGUAGAUAUUAGGAAGAACACCAAAGGCGAAAGCACUCUGCUGGGCCGAAACUGACACUGAUAGACGAAAGCUAGGGGAGCAAAUGGG
RNAcentral lists this ribosomal RNA (253 nucleotides) under uncultured bacterium. RNAcentral describes it as "partial 16S ribosomal RNA". It matches the Rfam family "Bacterial small subunit ribosomal RNA", at positions 524 to 776 of the family's 1533-position model. The record is from RNAcentral.